UACGUAGGGGGCAAGCGUUGUCCGGAAUCAUUGGGCGUAAAGAGCGUGUAGGCGGCCAGAAAAGUCCGCUGUGAAAACUCGAGGCUCAACUUCGAGCUGUCGGUGGAAACUUUCUGGCUAGAGUCCGGAAGAGGAGAAUGGAAUUCCUGGUGUAGCGGUGAAAUGCGUAGAUAUCGGGAGGAACACCAGUGGCGAAGGCGACUACCUGGCCUGUUCUUGACGCUGAGGCGCGAAAGCUAGGGGAGCAAACGGG
RNAcentral lists this ribosomal RNA (253 nucleotides) under uncultured bacterium. RNAcentral's name for it is "partial 16S ribosomal RNA". It matches the Rfam family "Bacterial small subunit ribosomal RNA", at positions 524 to 776 of the family's 1533-position model. The record is from RNAcentral.